GACGAACGCUGGCGGCGUGCUUAACACAUGCAAGUCGAACGGAAAGGCCCUGCUUGCAGGGUGCUCGCGUGGCGAACGGGUGAGUAACACGUGGGUGAUCCGCCCUCCACUUCGGGAUAAGCCUGGGAAACAGGGUCUAAUACCGGAUAGAAGCCAUCUUGAUUGUGAUGGUUGGAAAGUUUUUUCGGUGUGGGAUGAGCUCGCGGCCUAUCAGCUUGUUGGUGGGGUAAUGGCCUACCAAGGCGGCGACGGGUAGCCGGCCUGGGAGGGUGGACGGCCACAUUGGGACUGGGAUACGGCCCAGACUCCUACGGGAGGCAGCAGGGGGGGAUAUUGCACAAUGGGCGCGAGCCUGAUGCAGCGACGCCGCGUGGGGGAAGACGGCCUUCGGGUUGGAAACUCCUUUCGCUAGGGACGAAGCUUUUUGUGACGGUAACUAGAGAAGAAGCACCGGCUAACUACGUG
This 465-nucleotide ribosomal RNA is filed under the name uncultured bacterium. RNAcentral's name for it is "partial 16S ribosomal RNA". It matches the Rfam family "Bacterial small subunit ribosomal RNA", at positions 28 to 507 of the family's 1533-position model. The record is from RNAcentral.